RNAcentral lists this transfer RNA (67 nucleotides) under Flavobacteriales bacterium. RNAcentral's name for it is "tRNA-Thr". It matches the Rfam family "tRNA". Rfam says of the family: Transfer RNA (tRNA) molecules are approximately 80 nucleotides in length. Their secondary structure includes four short double-helical elements and three loops (D, anti-codon, and T loops). Lineage: Bacteria; Pseudomonadati; Bacteroidota; Flavobacteriia; Flavobacteriales. The record is from RNAcentral.
GAUGUAGCUCAGCUGGCUAGAGCAGCUGAUUUGUAAUCAGCAGGUCGUGGGUUCGAGUCCCUCCAUC